CAUCCCAGUUCCCGUUCCCAGGAGUACGGGCCGCGUUUCCGCCAUUCCCUCGGGAAUCUUUUCCUGGAAUUUUUGCUCCGCCUGGAGAGCGCCCUUCCCCCACCCGACCUGGCCCAGGUGAGUCCCGCCCGAGCCACGCCCCCUUUCCAUCAAACCCCGCCCCUUUUCGCUGAAACCCCGCCCCUUUUUCCUUAUAUGGCGCAGCUCGAUGCCCUCUGCCGAAGCCACGCCCCUCCGGGCUUUAAGACACGCCCCCUCCCCAUCCUGCGCCGCUAUUUGGCUGAGGUUGGCCACGCCCACCCGGCGCCGGUGCCACGCCCGAUCCCAGCUCGGAAAACCACGCCCAUGGUGAAGCCCCGCCUCCAGCGCCGCAGGUUCCGCCCACUCCGCUUCUCCCCUUACCACGCUGACGGGAAAGGAGAUCGAGAUCGACAUCGAACCCACGGACAAGGUGAGCUCCCAGUUUGGACCAGUAUAAACCAGUUCCGGGUGGUUCGGACCGGUAUCAACCAGUUUGGGGUGGUUUGGGGUGGGGGGAGAACCGCCAGGGGGUG
RNAcentral lists this long non-coding RNA (554 nucleotides) under Cyanistes caeruleus (blue tit). RNAcentral describes it as "lncRNA (ENSCCEG00000000662.1)". The record is from RNAcentral. Lineage: Eukaryota; Metazoa; Chordata; Aves; Passeriformes; Paridae.